UCCGGAUUUGGUUGCUCUUGGACC
This 24-nucleotide non-coding RNA is filed under the name Arabidopsis thaliana (thale cress). The record is from RNAcentral. Lineage: Eukaryota; Viridiplantae; Streptophyta; Magnoliopsida; Brassicales; Brassicaceae.